RNAcentral lists this ribosomal RNA (253 nucleotides) under uncultured bacterium. RNAcentral's name for it is "partial 16S ribosomal RNA". It matches the Rfam family "Bacterial small subunit ribosomal RNA", at positions 524 to 776 of the family's 1533-position model. The record is from RNAcentral.
UACGUAGGGUGCGAGCGUUGUCCGGAAUUACUGGGUUUAAAGGGUGCGUAGGCGGGCUAUUAAGUGUAAUGUUAAAAGUAUCAGCUUAACUGAUAGCAGGCGUUACAUACUGGUAGUCUAGAAUGAUGGUGAGGCUAUUGGAACGAGUGGAGUAGAGGUGAAAUUCGUAGAUAUCACUCAGAACACCGAUUGCGAAGGCAGGUAGCUAACCAUUGAUUGACGCUGAGGCACGAAAGCGUGGGGAGCAAACAGG